RNAcentral lists this ribosomal RNA (1426 nucleotides) under Staphylococcus aureus. RNAcentral describes it as "partial 23S ribosomal RNA". It matches the Rfam family "Bacterial large subunit ribosomal RNA", at positions 1487 to 2912 of the family's 2925-position model. Lineage: Bacteria; Bacillati; Bacillota; Bacilli; Caryophanales; Staphylococcaceae. The record is from RNAcentral.
CGAAGCGUGCGAUUGGAUUGCACGUCUAAGCAGUAAGGCUGAGUAUUAGGCAAAUCCGGUACUCAUUAAGGCUGAGCUGUGAUGGGGAGAAGACAUUGUGUCUUCGAGUCGUUGAUUUCACACUGCCGAGAAAAGCCUCUAGAUAGAAAAUAGGUGCCCGUACCGCAAACCGACACAGGUAGUCAAGAUGAGAAUUCUAAGGUGAGCGAGCGAACUCUCGUUAAGGAACUCGGCAAAAUGACCCCGUAACUUCGGGAGAAGGGGUGCUCUUUAGGGUUAACGCCCAGAAGAGCCGCAGUGAAUAGGCCCAAGCGACUGUUUAUCAAAAACACAGGUCUCUGCUAAACCGUAAGGUGAUGUAUAGGGGCUGACGCCUGCCCGGUGCUGGAAGGUUAAGAGGAGUGGUUAGCUUCUGCGAAGCUACGAAUCGAAGCCCCAGUAAACGGCGGCCGUAACUAUAACGGUCCUAAGGUAGCGAAAUUCCUUGUCGGGUAAGUUCCGACCCGCACGAAAGGCGUAACGAUUUGGGCACUGUCUCAACGAGAGACUCGGUGAAAUCAUAGUACCUGUGAAGAUGCAGGUUACCCGCGACAGGACGGAAAGACCCCGUGGAGCUUUACUGUAGCCUGAUAUUGAAAUUCGGCACAGCUUGUACAGGAUAGGUAGGAGCCUUUGAAACGUGAGCGCUAGCUUACGUGGAGGCGCUGGUGGGAUACUACCCUAGCUGUGUUGGCUUUCUAACCCGCACCACUUAUCGUGGUGGGAGACAGUGUCAGGCGGGCAGUUUGACUGGGGCGGUCGCCUCCUAAAAGGUAACGGAGGCGCUCAAAGGUUCCCUCAGAAUGGUUGGAAAUCAUUCAUAGAGUGUAAAGGCAUAAGGGAGCUUGACUGCGAGACCUACAAGUCGAGCAGGGUCGAAAGACGGACUUAGUGAUCCGGUGGUUCCGCAUGGAAGGGCCAUCGCUCAACGGAUAAAAGCUACCCCGGGGAUAACAGGCUUAUCUCCCCCAAGAGUUCACAUCGACGGGGAGGUUUGGCACCUCGAUGUCGGCUCAUCGCAUCCUGGGGCUGUAGUCGGUCCCAAGGGUUGGGCUGUUCGCCCAUUAAAGCGGUACGCGAGCUGGGUUCAGAACGUCGUGAGACAGUUCGGUCCCUAUCCGUCGUGGGCGUAGGAAAUUUGAGAGGAGCUGUCCUUAGUACGAGAGGACCGGGAUGGACAUACCUCUGGUGUACCAGUUGUCGUGCCAACGGCAUAGCUGGGUAGCUAUGUGUGGACGGGAUAAGUGCUGAAAGCAUCUAAGCAUGAAGCCCCCCUCAAGAUGAGAUUUCCCAACUUCGGUUAUAAGAUCCCUCAAAGAUGAUGAGGUUAAUAGGUUCGAGGUGGAAGCAUGGUGACAUGUGGAGCUGACGAAUACUAAUCGAUCGA